GGGUCAGUAGGUUGGUCGUGCCACCGGUACGUACUGGUCUCACUGAUUCCUCCUUCCUGAAGAACCGUAAUGCCAUUAAUUUGGUGUUGCGGGGAAACAGGACUGUUACUUUGAAAAAAUUAGAGUGUUUAAAGCAAGCUAACGCUUGAAUACAUUAGCAUGGAAUAAUGAAAUAGGACGAUCGAUCCUAUUUUGUUGGUUUCUAGGAUUGACGUAAUGAUUAAUAGGCAUUGUUGUG
RNAcentral lists this ribosomal RNA (238 nucleotides) under Glomeromycotina sp. RNAcentral describes it as "partial small subunit ribosomal RNA". The stretch from base 40 to 238 matches the Rfam family "Eukaryotic small subunit ribosomal RNA", at positions 686 to 886 of the family's 1831-position model. Lineage: Eukaryota; Fungi; Glomeromycota. The record is from RNAcentral.